Non-coding RNA from Camellia sinensis, 1525 nucleotides. The record is from RefSeq and is a predicted model, not a curated record. NCBI's taxonomy places the organism in Eukaryota, Viridiplantae, Streptophyta, Magnoliopsida, Ericales, Theaceae.
CUUUCUCAAAUCUUCCAAUAAAAACCGCGCGUAAGAGAACAGCGUGCUCUCCAGUGAAGAAUUCCUGUAGUUGUUGUAGGUUAGCUUUCUCUCUCUUCCUGCUUUUUUGGGCGUCGAUCGUUGCCUCAUAGCCCUGUUCUCUCUUCUGAUCUCGAUUGGUAAUUCGAUUCAUUUCUCAGAUUUCAAGCGAACCCUAAACUCAGUGCUUGUGCGAUGGUAUCCACUCGCACUUCACCCCGCACUCCGUCAAGAACUCGUGUAAGGGUGUCACACCAACCCAAGAAGAACCGAUACACAAAUGCACCUGGGACAGCGACAACACAAAGCUUUUUUUGCAACUGGUCAUAGCAGAGAUGGGGGACGGUAACCUCCAACUGUGCUCCUUGUCAAUGACUGGUUACAAGAAACUUGUGAAUAAGUUCCUGGACAAAACAGACUUGCUAUAUUCUGCCAAACAAAUGAAAAAUAAAUAUGACAACCUAAAGAAAGAUUGGAUUGCUUGGAAAAAGCUAUAGGAUAGUAACCAAGGCUUCACAAGGAUUGGGUAUGACCACAACUCAGGAUUGUUCACAGCCCCAGACCACCGGUGGGCAAAAAUGCAAGCGAUGAACCACCGAUGUGCAAAAUUCAAGACAAAGCCACUAGAACACUUGGAUCUUAUAGAAAGGGUGUUUGCAGACGCGGCUGCAAUGGGAAAACAUGCGUAGACGCCAACUGAAAUCUGCGAUGUUGAUGGAACCGGUGACAAUGCUGCAACCCCUGAUAGCGGCAUGGGGCCUCUCAGUGGUGGCACACCACCACAUGAUGUGCCAGAUCGUGUCGGCAAGAAUGUGGUGGAUUGUUCGCUGUUUGACGAUGCUCCUCCCCAUUCCAUCACAGAUGGCUCAGCUAAUGCCAAACGUCGGAAGCGGGUAGCCCCUGGUACUGUGCCAAGCAGCAUGGACAACCUUGUCGAGGCUGUUAGUAAACAAAAUAGGGAACUGAAAACAACACAGUAUGUCGUUAUAGGAAAGAGCAAAAACACUGUCGGGGACUGUCUUACGAGGUUGGUGACGGUGCCUGGGUUACAGGGGGUGGCCCGCUAUUCUCAUUCGCUUGCUCGCUUAUGGAUUCACUCGAUAAUCGUGACCUACUUAUGGGCCUCUCAUUAGAUUGCAUUGUCAAUUGGCUGAAAGAGAAGCGCGUAAUCACCCACUAACCUAUGGUGGAGCGUAGUCGUGGCGUUCGUUUAUUUGGACAGGAUGGUGUCGCCAAUAUGGACUAAGAACCAAGACAUGACAAUUUCGUUUGUUUUUUGGUUUUUGUUUUUUCUAUUUGGUAGUGGUUUGGUUGCACCUUUUUAAAUUUUAGAAUCUUUGGUUAAUUGGACUGUUUAUGUAAUGUAAGGAUGUUGCCAAAAAACUGUUAUGGUUGGGUUUGUAUUAUGUUUUUCAUAUUUUCUUUUUCAGUAGUGGUUUGGUUUCAACUUUUUAAUUUUUAACUCGUUGGUUAAUUGUAUCAAUGUUUGAAUUGUUGUUGGCAAAAA